UACGUAGGCAGCAAGCGUUGUUCGGAGUUACUGGGCGUAAAGGGUGUGUAGGCGGCCUUCUAAGUUUGGUGUGAAAUCUCACGGCUCAACCGGGAGGGUGCGCCGAAGACUGGGGGGCUAGAGUGCGGGAUGGGAGAGUAGAAUUCCUGGUGUUGCGGUGAAAUGCGUAGAUAUCAGGAGGAAUACCUGUGGUGUAGACGGCUCUCUGGACCGCAACUGACGCUGAGACACGAAAGCGUGGGUAGCAAACAGG
RNAcentral lists this ribosomal RNA (253 nucleotides) under uncultured bacterium. Its description in RNAcentral is "partial 16S ribosomal RNA". It matches the Rfam family "Bacterial small subunit ribosomal RNA", at positions 524 to 776 of the family's 1533-position model. The record is from RNAcentral.